RNAcentral lists this ribosomal RNA (468 nucleotides) under uncultured bacterium. RNAcentral's name for it is "partial 16S ribosomal RNA". It matches the Rfam family "Bacterial small subunit ribosomal RNA", at positions 28 to 507 of the family's 1533-position model. The record is from RNAcentral.
GACGAACGCUGGCGGCGUGCUUAACACAUGCAAGUCGAACGGAAAGGCCCUGCUUUUGUGGGGUGCUCGAGUGGCGAACGGGUGAGUAACACGUGAGUAACCUGCCCUUGACUUUGGGAUAACUUCAGGAAACUGGGGCUAAUACCGGAUAGGAGCUCCUGCUGCAUGGUGGGGGUUGGAAAGUUUCGGCGGUUGGGGAUGGACUCGCGGCUUAUCGGCUUGUUGGUGGGGUAGUGGCUUACCAAGGCUUUGACGGGUAGCCGGCCUGAGAGGGUGACCGGCCACAUUGGGACUGAGAUACGGACCAGACUCCUACGGGAGGCAGCAGUGGGGAAUAUUGCACAAUGGGCGGAAGCCUGAUGCAGCAACGCCGCGUGCGGGAUGACGGCCUUCGGGUUGUAAACCGCUUUCGCCUGUGACGAAGCGUGAGUGACGGUAAUGGGUAAAGAAGCACCGGCUAACUACGUG